GUCCUUAUACACGUCACCGCUCAAAACUCUCUUAUCCUACGCAUCUUCCGUUCACAAUAACAUACCAAAGCAAUACAGUCUGCGCAAUAUAGAUGGCGGCUCUCAUUACCGCGCCUUUAAUCAGACUCCACCGAGACGUGUCGAUUUCAUGACAUGUCCACGUCACAGUUUUUGUCUCUUAUCUUCAUCGUCCCUAACUUUUUGCCAUUUCUAGGGUUUCUAGCAAUUUCGCUUCAAACACUUUCGUCACCUUUCUCUCUACUAUUUCUGAGAUUGAAAUUUGAAUUUCCUUAGCUUCCGACGAUGGGGUUGGUCCCCGAUCCAGGCGAGUUAACCGAGCUAGCACAGCCGAGUUUUGACAAGUUUCAGAAGCAGGCGUCGUUGAUGACGAGCUGCAGUCUUAUGUGGAAGGAUCUCACCGAUCACUUCACUACACUGGAGCAGAACCUGAUGAAAAAAUCAGAGGCGCUGAAGAAGAUGAUUGAAACCCUAGACAACCAGACUCAGACCUCUCUCGAGUCAAUCGACCGCAGCGUCGAGAUCGUCGCUGAGAAAGUUGGGAAACGCGUCAGAGCUGCUCUGGAGUCGCUUGAGAAAGCUAGAGACGGCGGCGAUGACGACGACAGUGAGGUUGACGACGAUGAUGAGGAAGGGCUUCUCUCUGCAUUGAAGUCUCUCUGUUGGAAGAUGGACGCUAGAGGAUUCUGGAGCUUCGUGACGGCGAGGAAGAAGGAGAUUGAGAAUCCCCGGUCAAAGAUUCCGGCGGCGUUGGGGGACUGUGUGGAUCCGGAGAUGUUGGUGCUCGAGGCGAUCUCUGAGGUUUUCCCGGUGGAUAAAAGGGAGUCUGGAGAAAAGAUGAUGAACGAUUUCGCAUGGGCUUGUGUGGUGAUUCUGGAAAGUUUAGGGCCUGUGAUGGUGGAUCCGGUGAUCGGGAAGUCGCGGUUGAUUGUUACUCCUAGCGUUAAGGAGAAGGCUGAGGAGGUGGCAGAGACGUGGAAGGCGAGUUUGGAGGAGAGAGGGAGGGUGGAGGAUGUGAAGACUCCUGAUGUCCAUACGUUUCUGCAGCAUCUUGUGAUGUUUGGGAUUUUCAGAAGUGAAGAUCUUGGUCUCUACAGAAAGCUUGUUGUUGGUUCCGCAUGGCGUAAACAGAUGCCGAAGCUUGCUGUUUCGGUUGGUUUAGGUGAUCAGAUGCCAGAUAUGAUCGAAGAGUUGAUCAGCAGGGGACAUCAACUUGAUGCUGUUCAUUUUACUUAUGAAGUUGGUCUUGUGGAUAAGUUCCCUCCUGUUUGCUCAAAGCCUAUCUAAGGGACGCAAAGAAGACAGCAGUGGAGGACUCCAGCAACAUUGGCCGACCUUCGAAUCUUGUGGCGCGAAAGGAGCAAUCAGCUCUCAAGGCGGUAUUGAAGUGCAUAGAAGAGUACAAACUCAAAGAAGAGUUCCCUCCAGAGAACCUCAAGAAGCGUUUGGACCAGCUGGAGAAGACUAAAACCGACAAGAGAAAACCAGCAGCUGUACCAGCAAACAAGAGAACCAGAGCCAGCUACAACGGUCCAAUGCCACCAGCCAAAGUCGGUCGUAUCACAAACGCAUACGUCUCUUCCUUCCCCUUCAUCAGAUCACCCUCUCACUCACCUCAGUACGCUUCACCAUCAGCUUACCCAUCCCCACCUGUUACUGUCUACAGCAACAGAAGCCCACCUUAUCCAUACUCGCCUGAGCUUAUCCCGGGCUCAUACCAAGGCUCACCUAUCGGUUAUCCAGCGUACAGCGGUUAUUGCAACGGUCCGGUUCCUGUUACUGCCCCAGCUCCUCCGGUUUACCACCCACACUACCAUCAGCAGCAGCACCACCAACACGCUCACCAUCCGCAAGCUUACUACUGAAUUUAGAGAAAUCAAGAAGGAAGGAUGGUAAUAACCAACAACCACUGAUACCUGUGACAACUACUCUGGUCUACUCUCUGCGUCUGCAUCUUUGUCUAUCUACGUUUUGUUGUAAUAUUUUCGAAGCCUAACUCCUUUUAGUAAGUUAGCUCUCCUUUUCUGUUGUGUGUUUAUUAGUUUACCUAUAAACAAAACCCUUCCUUGGGAUGUUUUGUCCACAAAAUCAUCUUUCUAUUAAUUAAAUGAAAACUUUUCUUUGUCACAAA
RNA transcript from Brassica oleracea var. oleracea, 2149 nucleotides. It is a transcript of the gene named FRIGIDA-like protein 4a, with no coding region annotated. Lineage: Eukaryota; Viridiplantae; Streptophyta; Magnoliopsida; Brassicales; Brassicaceae. The record is from RefSeq and is a predicted model, not a curated record. The transcript is spliced from 3 exons.